RNAcentral lists this transfer RNA (70 nucleotides) under Pseudomonadota bacterium. RNAcentral's name for it is "Proteobacteria bacterium tRNA-Val". Lineage: Bacteria; Pseudomonadati; Pseudomonadota. The record is from RNAcentral.
CGGCGGUGGAACCGAGGCACCUGCCUUCACACGGCAGGGGUCGCUGGUUCGAACCCAGCAUCGCCCACCA